Molecule: ribosomal RNA, 429 nt
Filed under: bacterium
Lineage: Bacteria
Description: partial 16S ribosomal RNA
Rfam family: Bacterial small subunit ribosomal RNA
Source: RNAcentral
UAGGGAAUCUUCGGCAAUGGGGGCAACCCUGACCGAGCAACGCCGCGUGAGUGAAGAAGGUUUUCGGAUCGUAAAGCUCUGUUGUAAGAGAAGAACUUGUGUGAGAGUGGAAAGUUCACACAGUGACGGUAACUUACCAGAAAGGGACGGCUAACUACGUGCCAGCAGCCGCGGUAAUACGUAGGUCCCGAGCGUUGUCCGGAUUUAUUGGGCGUAAAGCGAGCGCAGUCGGUUUAAUAAGUCUGAAGUUAAAGGCAGUGGCUUAACCAUUGUUCGCUUUGGAAACUGUUAAACUUGAGUGCAGAAGGGGAGAGUGGAAUUCCAUGUGUAGCGGUGAAAUGCGUAGAUAUAUGGAGGAACACCGGUGGCGAAAGCGGCUCUCUGGUCUGUAACUGACGCUGAGGCUCGAAAGCGUGGGGAGCAAACAGG